This is a non-coding RNA of Pelobates cultripes (western spadefoot toad), 1070 nucleotides long. NCBI's taxonomy places the organism in Eukaryota, Metazoa, Chordata, Amphibia, Anura, Pelobatidae. The record is from the annotation of a GenBank genome assembly.
CUAGGAUAUAACUGCGAGGGGCUUAGUGCACAGCGAAAGCGUACAUCGGUUUGUUAAUGGAAACGGACAUUAAGAUUAUAAAGAAUUACAUGCCUGGAUAACUGAAGCAGGUAGAUGCGCCCUGGGGCUUGCUAGUAUAGUAAAAUGGAUGGUAAGCUACGCAAUGUGUGAGGUGUAAGUCGAUCAAUUAUAAAAUGGUUGAGAAUGGUGCUAGCCCGCAUACCAGGCUAAACUUAUGGUAGGAGGCGGGAUGGUUAUCUCAGUGUGCAUUUUGCGUAGGUAGAGACGUGUAUGGGACAAAAUAAAAGAAAAGAAGAUCAUAAACUUAGGUACAUGAGAGCACAGUUAUAGCAGGAGUCCAACAGGUUAAACAAGGUCUGUAGUGCCAUUUGCAUAGGUGCAUUAUACAUGUUAUCCCAUGAAAAGCAAAGAGAAAGGUCUUGAAAAUUUAAAUGUAAUGAAACACACAGAAGAAAUCAUAAAAUACUUUAAGCCCUGUAAUCAGGCAUGUAGAUGUCGGAGUGAGGGUGGCAUGGUCAGAGAGUCCAGCGUCAGCCUAUGCCCUGGCUUGGGUAGGAAUAGAGGCCGUCCAUGGGUUGUUCGAUGGUGGAGCUGAGCGUGGCUGUCUGCAGGAGCUGUAGCUCAGUUUUGGAGGCGCUGUGAUCUAGAUCCAGGGUAGGAAGCAGUGUCAUGCGCUGUGAGCCAACCGCUUGGGUAAGCCUGUGUAUGAGUCGCUCGGUGAUUUUCACGGUGGGCUGGCUCCGUACCGUGCCUGUAAGUCGGCUGUCCCUCUGCAUACCACUCCUCAUGUGAACUCGGGCAUUGCAGCAGCUUUGAUCCAGCAAGCACUGCUGUAGUGUCGCAGAGAUCCCACCCGUCAGGCUGCCCCAUGCAGGUAUGUAGCAUCCGCCUUGCGUGUGUAAGGGCCUUAGCCAGCUAGGGAGAAAAGAUGACGUUGUUUCCAUUACGAGCUGAUGGAUUCGCAUUUGCCACCAUUUUAGGUUUGAGUAGUGGGGUCUCUGGGCUGCAGGGUGUGGGCCGGGAUCACUCCCACCGGCCCAGGGGUGGGG